Molecule: transfer RNA, 86 nt
Filed under: Candidatus Woesearchaeota archaeon
Lineage: Archaea; Nanobdellati; Candidatus Woesearchaeota
Description: tRNA-Leu
Rfam family: tRNA
About the family: Transfer RNA (tRNA) molecules are approximately 80 nucleotides in length. Their secondary structure includes four short double-helical elements and three loops (D, anti-codon, and T loops).
Source: RNAcentral
GCUGGGGUCGCAUAGCCUGGCCAUUGCGUCAGACCGAGGAUCUGAUUUCCUUCGCGGAUCCGCGGGUUCAAAUCCCGCCCCCAGCG